RNAcentral lists this ribosomal RNA (164 nucleotides) under uncultured bacterium. Its description in RNAcentral is "partial 16S ribosomal RNA". It matches the Rfam family "Bacterial small subunit ribosomal RNA", at positions 355 to 511 of the family's 1533-position model. The record is from RNAcentral.
UAGGGAAUCUUCCACAGUGGACGCAAGUCUGAUGGAGCAACGCCGCGUGAGUGAAGAAGGGUUUCGGCUCGUAAAGCUCUGUUGUUAAAGAAGAACGUGGGUAAGAGUAACUGUUUACCCAGUGACGGUAUUUAACCAGAAAGCCACGGCUAACUACGCGCCAG